ACCGGCAAACGGGUGCGGAACACGUACACAACCUUCCUUUUAGUGAGGAAUAGCCCGGGGAAACCCGGAUUAAUACCUCGUAACAUUAUGAAGUGGCAUCACUUUAUAAUUAUAGCUCCGGCGCUAGAAGAUGGGUGUGCGGCUGAUUAGGUAGUUGGCGGGGUAACGGCCCACCAAGCCUACGAUCAGUAACUGGUGUGAGAGCACGACCAGUCACACGGGCACUGAGACACGGGCCCGACUCCUACGGGAGGCAGCAGUAAGGAAUAUUGGUCAAUGGACGCAAGUCUGAACCAGCCAUGCCGCGUGGAGGAUGAAGGUCCUCUGGAUUGUAAACUUCUUUUCUCUGGGGCGAAAAAAGGGCUUUCUAGCUCACUUGACAGUACCAGAGGAAUAAGCACCGGCUAACUCCGUGCCAGCAGCCGCGGUAAUACGGAGGGUGCAAGCGUUAUCCGGAUUCACUGGGUUUAAAGGGUGCGUAGGAGGGCAGGUAAGUCAGUGGUGAAAUCCCCGAGCUUAAC
This 521-nucleotide ribosomal RNA is filed under the name Chitinophagaceae bacterium. RNAcentral's name for it is "bacterial SSU rRNA". It matches the Rfam family "Bacterial small subunit ribosomal RNA", at positions 94 to 613 of the family's 1533-position model. The record is from RNAcentral. Lineage: Bacteria; Pseudomonadati; Bacteroidota; Chitinophagia; Chitinophagales; Chitinophagaceae.